CUUUGAUUGACAAACACAAACUCACACACCCACUCACAGACAGGCACAUACUCUCAUAUACACCGACAUACAUAAACACUCACUGAUUUGACACAAUCUGACAGACACACACAAUCACUCACUCACUGACACUGACUGACAGAUACACCCACUGACACACAUACACUCACUCACAGAUGCACACUGGCAGACAUACACACAUUCACUGACAGACAAACACAUACUGACUGACAGACACACUCACUGACAUAACCACACACUCACUCACACACACACACACAUCCACUGACAGAGUCACACACACUGACAGACACACCCACAUUCACUUACAGACACACAUGGUCGCUCACAGACACACACACAUUUACUGACAGACACACUCACUCACUCAUUCAUUCACAAAGACAUGCUCACUCACAGACAGACACACACAGACUGACAGACAGACACACAAACUGACAGACACACGCGCACACACACAC
Molecule: non-coding RNA, 482 nt
Organism: Pelobates cultripes (western spadefoot toad)
Lineage: Eukaryota; Metazoa; Chordata; Amphibia; Anura; Pelobatidae
Source: the annotation of a GenBank genome assembly